CUCGGCAACGGAUAUNUCGGCUCUUGCAUCGAUGAAGAACGCAGCGAAAUGCGAUACUUGGUGUGAAUUGCAGAAUCCCGUGAACCAUCGAGUCUUUGAACGCAAGUUGCGCCCGAAGCCUUUAGGCCGAGGGCACGUCUGCCUGGGCGUCACGC
RNAcentral lists this ribosomal RNA (155 nucleotides) under Clinopodium vulgare. RNAcentral describes it as "5.8S ribosomal RNA". It matches the Rfam family "5.8S ribosomal RNA". Rfam says of the family: 5.8S ribosomal RNA (5.8S rRNA) is a component of the large subunit of the eukaryotic ribosome. It is transcribed by RNA polymerase I as part of the 45S precursor that also contains 18S and 28S rRNA. Functionally, it is thought that 5.8S rRNA may be involved in ribosome translocation. Lineage: Eukaryota; Viridiplantae; Streptophyta; Magnoliopsida; Lamiales; Lamiaceae. The record is from RNAcentral.